AGUAAAUAGAUACCCAGGUAGUCCACGCCGUAAACGAUGAGUACUAGGUGUAGGAGGUAUCGAUUCCUUCUGUGCCGCAGUUAAACACAAUAAGUACUCCGCCUGGGAAGUACGGUCGCAAGAUUAAAACUCAAAGGAAUUGACGGGGGCCCGCACAAGCAGCGGAGCAUGUGGUUUAAUUCGAAGCAACGCGAAGAACCUUACCUAGACUUGACAUCUCCUGAAUAGUGUAGAGAUACAUGAAGCCCUUCGGGGCAGGAAGACAGGUGGUGCAUGGUUGUCGUCAGCUCGUGUCGUGAGAUGUUGGGUUAAGUCCCGCAACGAGCGCAACCCUUAUUACUAGUUGCUACCAUUAAGUUGAGCACUCUAGUGAGACUGCCC
Molecule: ribosomal RNA, 381 nt
Filed under: uncultured bacterium
Lineage: Bacteria
Description: bacterial SSU rRNA
Rfam family: Bacterial small subunit ribosomal RNA
Source: RNAcentral